This 211-nucleotide long non-coding RNA is filed under the name Lathyrus oleraceus (garden pea). RNAcentral describes it as "Pisum sativum (pea) long non-coding RNA (PSAT_LNC026658)". Lineage: Eukaryota; Viridiplantae; Streptophyta; Magnoliopsida; Fabales; Fabaceae. The record is from RNAcentral.
UUCUAUUUGUUGUCGCAUUGCUGAAUUAGUUAUGUGUUUUCUCAUUGUUUUUUAUUUUUAUUUUUACUUUCUAUUAAGUUUAACAUGGCUGACCAAAGAACUCUAAGAGAACUUGUUUCCCCUGAUGUGAUUUAUAGUGCUUUGUGUAUUGAAUAUCUUGUUGUUGUUGUACCUUUCAAAUUGAAAUCUGGUUUAAUACACUUGUUGUCAA